GCGCGGAGCUUGCUCUGGUGGCGAGUGGCGAACGGGUGAGUAAUAUAUCGGAACGUACCCUGGAGUGGGGGAUAACGUAGCGAAAGUUACGCUAAUACCGCAUACGAUCUACGGAUGAAAGUGGGGGAUCGCAAGACCUCAUGCUCGUGGAGCGGCCGAUAUCUGAUUAGCUAGUUGGUAGGGUAAAAGCCUACCAAGGCAUCGAUCAGUAGCUGGUCUGAGAGGACGACCAGCCACACUGGAACUGAGACACGGUCCAGACUCCUACGGGAGGCAGCAGUGGGGAAUUUUGGACAAUGGGCGAAAGCCUGAUCCAGCAAUGCCGCGUGAGUGAAGAAGGCCUUCGGGUUGUAAAGCUCUUUUGUCAGGGAAGAAACGGUGAGGGCUAAUAUCUCUUGCUAAUGACGGUACCUGAAGAAUAAGCACCGGCUAACUACGUGCCAGCAGCCGCGGUAAUACGUA
This 462-nucleotide ribosomal RNA is filed under the name uncultured Janthinobacterium sp. RNAcentral describes it as "bacterial SSU rRNA". It matches the Rfam family "Bacterial small subunit ribosomal RNA", at positions 71 to 529 of the family's 1533-position model. Lineage: Bacteria; Pseudomonadati; Pseudomonadota; Betaproteobacteria; Burkholderiales; Oxalobacteraceae. The record is from RNAcentral.